Molecule: ribosomal RNA, 264 nt
Filed under: Triticum aestivum (bread wheat)
Lineage: Eukaryota; Viridiplantae; Streptophyta; Magnoliopsida; Poales; Poaceae
Description: partial small subunit ribosomal RNA
Source: RNAcentral
AUGGAGGAGUUGGGAUUGAAAGAAGGCGAUCUCCAGGACGUAGUGAUUGAGGACGAAGAGCUUCUGGAGGAGGCGACUCGCUGGAUGGCGAUAGCUAGGGUUCACACGGACCGUACCUACAACCAGUACUGGUUUUUCAGAAACAUGAGGGCGGCCUGGGAUCUGGCCAAGGGAGUGCAAAUCAGGCCUCUUGAGGACAACCUGUAUACUUUGCAGUUUGCAUGCUUGGGCGAUUGGGAACGUGUGAUGCAGGAUGGGCCGUGA